Molecule: long non-coding RNA, 3986 nt
Organism: Gasterosteus aculeatus aculeatus (three-spined stickleback)
Lineage: Eukaryota; Metazoa; Chordata; Actinopteri; Perciformes; Gasterosteidae
Source: Ensembl
AAAAAAAAGAACUACAAAAAACAUCUUUACGGCAGCUGGCACCAGCGUUCUCUGGUACUUUGCCAACCCCAUCUGGGGAAGAGUCGUUGGAUCAUUGGUUGGAGCAUUGGUUGGAGCAUUGGUUGGAUCAUUGGUUGGAGCAUUGGUUGGAGCAUGCACACCUGAUGGUUGAGGAGAGCGAGCGUUCGGCCAAGGAGAAACUACGGCGUAUCAUGGAAUGUCUGAAGGGGCCGGCGUUAGCUGUUGUGAAAGCUGUGAGGACUGCGCAUCCAGAGGUUAGUCCAGCUCGGUGCUUAAAGGCUAUUGAGAGUGUUUUUGGGUCUGCUUAGACCGGCGAGGACUUGUAUUUUGCCUUUAGGUUGUUACAGCAGCAGCUCAAGGAAAAGUUGUCUGACUUUCUUAGGCGCUUGGAGUUGUCGUUGACCAAGGUGGUUCGUCGUGGAGGUCUCCCUCCAGGCCGCGUCGACCGUGCGCGAGUGGAGCAGCUGAGAGGUGCUGUCCACUCUGAUAUGAUGCUGGUACAGCUCAAACUCAGGGAACGGAAAGAAGAUCCGCCAACUUUCUUGGAACUCCUGAGCGAUAUCCGCAACGAAGAGGAGUAUUAGUCUUCAAGGACAAAGCUGCACACGUCUAUCCAGAGAGUUCAUGCUAGGCCUGGCAUAGGCAGUAGACAAGAAGAUGUUGAGCAUUUAAGAUCUGAAGUUCAAGAACUCCAAUCAAUGUUCACUGCGAUGAGGUCUUUAUCUAGCCAAACUGUAGCAUAUAGGAAAGAACAUGAGUCACUUCCAAAAGUACUCAGCCCAGAGACAGGCAAUGAAUAGGAAGUAGCUGCCCUGAGGAAACAAGUGAUGAACCUGCAAAAGCAAAUAGCAGGCCAACAGUCAAAAGUCUCUGAAUCCCCUGCAUCAGCUCUAAGCGUGGAUCCGGAACUUCCGUACCGAGUAAGAUAUGAACUAAGGCCAUGAACAGAAGUCAUUUGUUUUGAAGAGAAAAAGAUUACAUGAGCAAUUCUCCGCAGAUAUCUGGCUCUAACUAUUGCUUGCAAGCAGGAGGUCCAACACACCAGCACGUAUCUCAGCGCUCGGCGUAAUGACGUCUCCGAGCAGUGAAAACGCUGAGUUUUUAUACACAUGUGAAGAACAUUCUCCGUGCCAGUUACGAGAAGCUACAAAGCAGGUUGAGAUAAGAACCCAGGUGAAGCUGAGGGUAGCACACACACACACACACACACACACACACACACACACAAGAUCCUCCUCAGUGGCCGGUGCAAAUCAUUAUUAAUUGACAUAAAGUAAAAACGUGGAUCCGGAACGAAAGCUCCGAAUAAGAUAUGAACCAAGGCCAUGAACAGGAGUCCUUUGUUUUGAAGCUUCUACGAGAUCGAGUUGACCGCUCUCCCUUCUCAGUGCGCAGCUGCAAAGCAACAUUUUGUAUCAUGCUGCUCUUUGCACUUCAGGGUCAAAUACAGGACACUUGAGACACGACCUUAGCACAAAACAAUGUUAUAAUAUAUUUUACCAGUACAUGCAUCUCACAAUCUCACAAUUGUCAGACCUGAACCAGACCUGGUGAGUUCUACUUGCUGGUGCACAGGUGCAUUGGGCCUAGGAGGGAAGUUGGGCUUGCAAGCACAUUAUGCGUUUUGUAAUGAGGAGGAGGAUGGGUACUCGGUGAUUAAUGGCUGUUUGUACAGUGCAGGCUGAACUGGUGACACGGAGUGGUCAGCAGGGCAGCCACUGCUCUUUUUCUCCGACCAUAGUUUUAGUUUAGAUUAUGCUUUAGUGCCUCCAUCUUGCUCUCUCUUUAUAGAAAUAACAAACUGAUAUUGUGCCUUUUUUGAUGACCGUUGCUUCCCCCUUCCCCACUUCUAUUGUGUAUGUGUCUCUUAACCAGGAUCAUUAAUUGUAUUUGUGUGUGUUGGUUUGUAGUGUUGGUUAUUUUAGCCUUUCUUAACAGUGUGCAGUGGUUUUAUUGUUGGAAGUGUCAUUGUUGCCCCCGGCCAAUCACUACUGGUAUAAAUUAUUUGGAUGUGUUUUUAUAAAGUUAUUGUUUAAAUAAAAGUGAUAUUGCACUGUACACGCAGAAGCCUCUGUCUAUGAUCUACGUUGUAUGGGGUUUUUCACCAGUAAGAUAAUUUAAUUCAGGGUCUCUCCCGUCAAAGAGAGUGGCGUUGUCACGUCUGGAUAUUAUUCCAAAGUAUUAUAAGUGUCCAUUUGGUCACAUAUAAAUACCAAUUAUUGCGAGCGGCGUACGCCUUCUUUUGUGCGUACGCAACGUGUAUAAAUGAGGCCCCAGGACAUGAUGGGCCAUGAGAGACGGAAUAAAAUGUUUCAGGGGGAGAAACACCGCUGAAAGUUCCAGAAAAUGUAUGUGAGACCGCUGGAGGUCCGCACUCCAGCGGUCCCUCACAGAUCGGCCCUCGUAAAUUACGCCCCAACCUGUCAGGCUGGCGUCCGUCGUGACCACUUUCCAGGACAGGACGGAACCCAUGGGCACCCCGUGGAUCAGAAAGGCCGGGACUCGCCAGGGCGCUCCGUCUCUUGCGAGUCCCGGCCUGGCGAGUCCCGGUGUGACCACCAUUCUCCGUGCGCCAUUACGCACGGGAUCCAGCCAGCAUGAGGCCACCCAAAGCUGGAAUUCUCUCAUGUGGAAGCGACCGAGACAAACUACGAGAAUGGCAUACGCCAUCAGUCCGAGUAACCGAAGACAUAUUCUGGAUGCCCGGAUGAAAAAGCGCGAGACAUUUCCUGAAGACCUUCACCCGCUCGGCGCAGCGGCGGGGCCGCCCACACAGCCCCCUCUCGGGGGAAAAGCCGUGGCUCUUUGCAAUGGGCAAUUUCUUCCCCUCGUAGCGGGAUCUGGUGGUCUCAGCUACGACAGCAGGCCAGGGGGUCGCCAGCCAGGCAGCAGCGCGUUUGCACACGUCGAGCAUGUCCGGGCUGGGGGGGGAAAGGCUGGUGCGCUGCUCCCAUCUCCACCCCGAGAGGCGACGGAGCAAGUUUCUAAUACGUCGUUGUACGAACCUCUUUUACAACUAACUUGACAGUUUGUUUUUUUUAAACCUCUAAAAUAAUGAUAUAGCACACAAGAGAGGACAAAAGAUUACCGUGUAAAAAAUCACGUUGAAAUGUGGUCUAAGACGUCUUUUCAACGUCUACGAAUAGACGAAAAAACUUUCAUAGACGUACUUUCAACCAAAAAAUUCUCACUGUUAACAGUCAACUAAAACAACAGUGACCACGUAACAAAACUCACCACUGUAGCAGGUUGCUUUCCUGAGUCAGACUACGUCCUGUCCUUCACACAAUAACACCGGCACCUCCGAGUCAUGAAGCGGCGAAACGCGACGCGAGCCUCCCGCACGGCACGAGGCUGCGAUCGGUCUCCUCACAGUUACGGAGUCUCACUGCUCCGCUUUCAUGUGGCAUAAAUGGCACCACAUCACAUUUAUUUUGUAUCCAGAAAAAAACAGAAACCCUUCAGAGAGCGACUCACAGCCUCUGAGAGUCUUAGACGUCGAUCUGAAGAUACAAUAGAGGUGUUUUUUAAGAUGAUUCAUUUAGCAGGAAGCACUCAUAUAAACCACACACACUCUCACUGCUCCGCUUUCACGGCGCAUAAAUGGCACCACAUUACAUUUAUUUUGCAUUCAGAAAAAAAAUCAUAAACCCUUCAGAGAGCAACUCACUCGAUCUGAAGAUACAAUGGAGGUGUGUUUUUUUUAAUGAUUUAUUCAGCAGGAAGCACUCAUAUAAGCCACACUCAUCAUCUCUGAACAGCAUUAUUUCAUAACCCCAAAACUCUGAUUUGUAUACAGAGCCAAAUAAAACAUGUUCCUACGCCCCACUUUUAAACUUUCCAAUCAGGUUCAAUAUACUGAACAGAAAAUACACACAACAAAUGCAUAGAAUCAUUAGUUUAUACCACCCCAAAUAGUUUACAUUGGGGUAAAAACUUACCCUUACCUUAAAUUAAAACUGGAG